Small nuclear RNA from Trichomycterus rosablanca, 141 nucleotides. RefSeq annotates it as U4 spliceosomal RNA. The transcript has a single exon. Lineage: Eukaryota; Metazoa; Chordata; Actinopteri; Siluriformes; Trichomycteridae. The record is from RefSeq and is a predicted model, not a curated record.
UGCUUUGCGCAGUGGCAGUAUCGUGACCUAUGAGGUUUAUCCGAGGCGCGAUUAUUGCUAGUUGAAAACUUUACCCAAUUGGGACAGUGGUAGCCUAGUGGGUAGAGCUUUGGGCUAUCAACCGGAAGAUUGGCGGUUCAA